Molecule: long non-coding RNA, 660 nt
Organism: Phodopus roborovskii (desert hamster)
Lineage: Eukaryota; Metazoa; Chordata; Mammalia; Rodentia; Cricetidae
Exons: 3
Source: RefSeq, a predicted model, not a curated record
UUCAGCCCCGGCGCAGCCGCAACACGCCGCCCGCCCGCCGGCCGGCCGGCCCGCCCCGCAGCCGGCACCCUGCCGCCCCCGGCUCGGGGCCUGGGCCCCCGCCGGAUUCGGCCUGCCUGGGGCGGGGGGCCCGGGCCCGGCCCAGCCAAACCGCCACCCCGAGGAUGCGCAGGCCGCACUAGGCCCCGGGCGUCCUGGCGGGCUCGAGAGGGAGGCGGCUGCCCUCCUGAGAGCCCCGGGGUUCCGGCCUCCUCUGCCGCCUCGGGUUCUCCGGGCCGCGGCCUUCUCCGCGCCGUGGAACCCCGGGCCUGGCCUUCCCCCACGGGCUCGGGAGCGGGCGGCCCGGGAGAGCGCGCCGGGCCCGGGAGCGGGAGCAACUUAUUGGAUUGUUCCUCACUCAAGGAAAGAGAAGAGCACAACUUUGGAGAUACUCUUUUAUAGUUGUAAGCCUUUUGGAACUUAAGAGAGUGCUGCUGCUGCUGCUCCUGAAUGUUAAUGUCAGGCUGUCAGCAAACCUACAAAGAACAAGAGGAAGUGAAGAAAUGUCUCUGUGAAACAUUGCUCACAGCGGUUAAACAGUGGACUAGAAGUGGGGAGCAGGAAACGCAGAGCUGAAUUCUAGUUGUAUGUUUAAAAGAGUGAGGCAUGCCCUCCAUCAAG